Molecule: ribosomal RNA, 1511 nt
Filed under: uncultured Bordetella sp.
Lineage: Bacteria; Pseudomonadati; Pseudomonadota; Betaproteobacteria; Burkholderiales; Alcaligenaceae
Description: partial 16S-23S ribosomal RNA intergenic spacer
Rfam family: Bacterial small subunit ribosomal RNA
Source: RNAcentral
AAGCGCGCUUCGUUCAGUUACACGUAUUGCUCUGGGAGCAUCAGGCGUGUCGAAGGGGUUUUGGUGUAAUAAGAUUGGUUUGCUGGCGGAUCGCGCUUUUCUACAUGCCAGUCGAACGGCAGCACGGACUUCGGUCGGUGGCGAUAGCGAACAGGUGGCGUGUAAUGUAUCGGAACGUGCCCUAGUAGCGGGGAUAACUACGCGAGAAAGCCGUAAUAACCUGCAUGCCGCCGGGAGACGGGGGACCUUCGGGCCUCGCACUAUUAAACGGCCCGAUAUCGGAUUGGCUAGUUGGUGGGGUAACGGCUCACCAAGGGCGACGAUCCGUAGCUGCGUUGAGGAGGACGACCAGCCACACUGGGACUGAGACGGCCCAGACUCUGGGAAGGCAACGAUCGGGGAAUUUUGGACAAUGGGGAAACCCUGAUCAGCCAUCCCGCGUGUGCGAUGAAGACCUUCGGGUUGUAAAGCACUUUGGCAGGAAAGAAACGGCACGGGAUAAUACCCCGUGCAACUGACGGUACCUGCAGAAUAAGCACCGGCUAACUACGUGCCAGCAGCCGCGGUAAUACGUAGGUUGCAAGCGUUAAUCGAAUUACUGGGCGUAAAGCGUGCGCGAGCAGGUUCGGGAAGAAGAUGUGAAAUCCCAGAGCUUAACUUUAGACUGCCAUUUUUAACUACGAGCUAGAGUGUGUCAGAGGAGGUGGAAUUCACGUGUAGCAGUGAAAUGCGUAGAUAUGCGGAGGAACACCGAUAGCGAAGGCAGCCUCCUGGGAUAACACUGACGCUCAUGCACAGCGUGGGAGCAAACGGGAUUAGAUACCCUGGUAGUCCACGCCCUAAACGAUGUCAACUAGCUGUUGGGGCCUUCGGGCCUUGGUAACAUGCGCAUUGAAGUUGACCACCUGGAAGCGGUCGCAAGAUUAAAACUCAAAGGAAUGACAGGGGACCCGCACAAGCGGUGGAUGAUGUGGAUUAAUUGAUGACACGAAAAACCUUACCUACCCUUGACGCUGUCUGAAGAUCCCGAAGAGAUUCCCAGGAGUGCUCGCAAGAGAACCGGAACACAGGUGCUGCAUGGCUGUCGUCAGCUCGUGUCAUGAGAUGUUGGGUUGAUCCGCAACAGCGCAACCCUUGUCAUUGAAUUUGGCUUGCGAAAGGAGCACUCUAAUGAGGCGACAAACCGGAGGAAGGUGGGGAUGACGUCAAGUCCCUCAUGGCCCUUAUGGGUGAGACUGCACGUCAUGCAAUGGUCAGACAGAGGGUCGCCAACCCGCGAGAGAGCAAUCCCGAAGCCCGAUCGCGAAGUCCGGAUCGCGAUCUGCAGCACUCUGACUGCGUGAAGUCAGAAUCGUAAUCGCGGAUCAACAUCGUCGCGGUGAAUACGUUCCGGGUCUUGUACCGCCCGUCACACCAUGGGAGUGGGUUUUACCAGAAGUAGUUAGCCUAACCGUAAGGAAUGCGAUUACCACGGUGAGAUUCAUGACUGGGGUGAAGUCGUAACAAGGUAA